GCAGAACACAGCACAGAAUAGAUUGGAGUCUAUGGAGACGGCAAUGUCCGCGUAGUCCUGAUUCAAUCUGCGCCGGCCGCCAUCGGAUUUCAUAUCCCCAUUUAGGCCGCAAGUCCCGACUUGACCGCCGUACAGAAACAAAAAUGCAUCUGCAUUAUGUUAGUGUGAACAUGGCCUAAGGAAGCUAGGGAGAUUUAUAUGAGCAAACACCGAGUGACGUUACAGAAUCAGAUAUGGGGACAAAAGAAGUGGAUCCGGCCCGUAUCCGGGGUCAGGCGUUCCAGACAGAUAAUCAACCACAUGAAAGGCCGAGAAGCAGCGUCCUGUGACGGGAGAGACGAUGGAGAAAAUGUCGCCCAUACCCGGCUCCGGCAGCCAUUACCGUACUAAACAAUUACUGACCGCUG
This is a long non-coding RNA of Hyla sarda, 407 nucleotides long. RefSeq lists it as uncharacterized. Lineage: Eukaryota; Metazoa; Chordata; Amphibia; Anura; Hylidae. The record is from RefSeq and is a predicted model, not a curated record. The transcript is spliced from 3 exons.